This 253-nucleotide ribosomal RNA is filed under the name uncultured bacterium. RNAcentral describes it as "partial 16S ribosomal RNA". It matches the Rfam family "Bacterial small subunit ribosomal RNA", at positions 524 to 776 of the family's 1533-position model. The record is from RNAcentral.
GACAGAGGGUGCAAACGUUGCUCGGAAUUACUGGGCGUAAAGCGCACGUAGGCGGAUUGUUAAGUCGGGGGUGAAAUCCUGGAGCUCAACUCCAGAACUGCCUUCGAUACUGGCGAUCUCGAGUUCGGGAGAGGUGAGUGGAACUGCGAGUGUAGAGGUGAAAUUCGUAGAUAUUCGCAAGAACACCAGUGGCGAAGGCGGCUCACUGGCCCGAUACUGACGCUGAGGUGCGAAAGCGUGGGGAGCAAACAGG